CAUGGUGAUGGUGGCAUGCAUGCAUGCGCAUGAAGGAAGGCAAGGAAGGGCCAGGACAGGAGGGGGACAAGUCCCAGGUAAUCUUUUCUGCCUUGUCUCCCUACCCUACCCUACCCUGCUCGUUGUUAAUCCGUCAUGCAUCAGGGAGGAGACAUGCAUGCAUGCUAUUGCCAUUGCCAUUGCCAUUGCCAUGGGUCCCAAGAUGAUGGAAGGGGAAGGGGAUGGGGAUGCAAGGCUCUUGUGUCUGGACGUGCCUGUCGUCCUGUACUCCGGUCAACGUCGUUAGUGAAUGCAUAUCUUGUUGUGUUAGGAGGAGGAGGAGAAUCAGGUUAGAGUGAUGAUAAGACUGACUGACUGACUAGGUUGUCGUUUGCAGCAAUACUUUUUGUGUUAGGAGAACCAAGAUGCAGCAGCCAUGAUGAAGACGGAGGUUAGGAGAGGUAGGCGGUCCUCUUCCUCCUCGCAUUUGGCCGCGCGCUGCACGGAGCUCAAUUGGUUGGUUGGUCUUAUUACCAUUUGAUUUCAAAAGACAAACCAUUUUUUCUUCUCACUGGAUGAGCGACAAUUCUCACUUCCUCUGGGCUGGGGGUCACAAGAAAGCCAAACGCCUUGGCGGCUGCUACGAAUC
Molecule: long non-coding RNA, 628 nt
Filed under: Hordeum vulgare
Lineage: Eukaryota; Viridiplantae; Streptophyta; Magnoliopsida; Poales; Poaceae
Description: long non-coding RNA (HVUL_LNC011228)
Source: RNAcentral